UGGGUGACCUGGCAGGGGAGAGCCCAUAAUCACCAAGGUAGUUUUCCCAGGCUGAGGCCCAUCCCUUGCACUCUAGGCAGGCUGACCCCUGGAAGUUUCUCCAAGUGUGGGAAACUUGACUGCACAAUUUUGUGGAAGUAGGAGCUGUUUUUUUUGCUUUUCCCCUAACUUGCUCCUU
Molecule: small nuclear RNA, 178 nt
Filed under: Crocodylus porosus (Australian saltwater crocodile)
Lineage: Eukaryota; Metazoa; Chordata; Crocodylia; Crocodylidae
Description: U1 spliceosomal RNA (ENSCPRG00005011127.1)
Rfam family: U1 spliceosomal RNA
About the family: U1 is a small nuclear RNA (snRNA) component of the spliceosome (involved in pre-mRNA splicing). Its 5' end forms complementary base pairs with the 5' splice junction, thus defining the 5' donor site of an intron.
Source: RNAcentral